GCCCGCCUAGCUCAAUCGGAUAGAGCGUCAGACUCUUACGAGAACCGGGCAUCUGAAGGCUGCGAGUUCGACCCUCGCGGUGGGCU
Non-coding RNA from Crepidotus variabilis, 86 nucleotides. Lineage: Eukaryota; Fungi; Basidiomycota; Agaricomycetes; Agaricales; Crepidotaceae. The record is from the annotation of a GenBank genome assembly.